Cyprinus carpio (common carp) is the source of this 1152-nucleotide long non-coding RNA. The record is from Ensembl. Lineage: Eukaryota; Metazoa; Chordata; Actinopteri; Cypriniformes; Cyprinidae.
AUGCACGCACACUCACUCGCGAUCACACUCAAUGUGCUCACACUCUCACGCACGCUCACACACACACUCUCGCUCACACACACACUCUCACUCACACUCUCAAGUGCGCUCACACACUCACUCGCGCUCACACACUCACUCUCGCUCACACACACACUCUCACUCACACACUCUCAAGUGAGCUCACACACUCACUCUCACUCGCACUUACACACUCACGUGCACUCACUCUCACGCGCACUCACACACUCACUCUCACGUGCACACACACUCAUGCGCUCACACACUCACUCUCACGCGCACGCACUCACUCUCACGCGCACUCACAUACUCUUACGUGCACUCACACACACAUGCACUCACUCUCGCACUCACUCUCACGCGCACUCACAUGCACGCUCUCACACUCUCACGCGCACGCACUCACUCUCACGCGCACUCACAUGCACGCUCUCACACUCUCACGCGCACUCACACACUCACUCUAACGUGCACUCACAUACUCUUACGUGCACUCACACACAUGCACGCGCACUCACUCUCGCACUCACUCUCACGCGCACUAACGCACACUCACUCGCACUCACUCUCACAUGCACUCACACGCACCUACGCACACUCACUCUCACAUGCACUCACACGCACUUACGCGCUCGCACUCUCACAUGCACUCACGCGCACUCACUCUCACAUGCACUUACGCGCACUCGCUCUCACACGCACUUAAGCGCACUCGCUCUCACACGCACUUACGCGCACUCCCUCUCACACGCAUUUACGCGCACUCACUCUCACUCUCACAUGCACUCACACACACUCACGUGCACUUACUCUCACACGCACUCACUCGCACUCACUGUCACUCUCACAUGCACUCACGCGCACUCACUCUCACACGCACUUACGCACACUCACUCUCACACGCACUUACGCACACUCACUCUCACAUGCACUCACGCACACUCACUCUCAUGUGCACUCAUGCACACUCACUCCCACGUGCACUCACUCACAUGCACUUACGCGCACUCACUCUCACAUGCACUCACUCUCAAGUGCACUCACGCGCACUCACUCUCACGUGCACUCACUCUCACGUGCACUCACACACUCACUCGCACUCACUCUCACUCACACGCACACACACUCUAA